GGGGACCCCCGGGGGAGGUGGGACCAGAGCCCCACGCAGCGGGGGGCAGUGGGAGCUGCGGAAUCUGGCUCUUGCGUGUCACCCCACUCCCCAUGACAGAGCCUCCCACGCAGCUGCAAGCAGAGGGCUCUGUGCAGCCCUGGCCCCCGGUCGGCUCUGGGGGCUGUGCCCCGGCGGUGGUCUAACCAGGUUAAGCAGCUGGUUCCUUCUGGAAGCUUCGCCCCGGGGCGAAGGCCUCACCUUCUUCCAUGGCCUCCAAGGCCCCGAGCCACCCCCCCGGCCCCUCCCCUGGGUGUGUGCGGGUGAGGGCUAGUGAAGGGCUUAGCCCAGGGUGUCCAAGACUGGAAACCGCCCCAGAAAGUUCGGGGGCCACUCUCAGCACCCUGCCUGCCCGGGCCCACCCCGCGCUGUGAUUGCUAAACUCCCCUGUGACAACGCUGGGGGCCGUUUCUGUGUCCUGCCACCUGGCCCCGCCCGCUUAGCUAGGCUGCCCCUGAGGACUCAGGACAGCAAGCGGAUCAGACAAGGCCCUGCCCUCACGGAGCGCGGGGAAGAGGCCAAGGACACCAGAAAGCUCAGGCGUCAGGCCAAGGGAGGCCCGUCUCGGCAGGGUCCUCUCUGAGAACAAGAGCGGACCGCUCUCUUAGCGGGCUGGGGGCGAGCCCACAGGGUGAGAACCACCAGUGUGUGGGAGCGGGAAAGGUAUCCGAGCUGAGGGAAUGGCAGAUGCAAAGGCCCUGGAGCAGAAGAACCACGGUGUCUCGCUGCAGUCUCUCUCACCUCAAGCAGUCGGCCUCGGCACCUCACGGCCCGUGGACAAACCUGGAAGCCCUUGCCUGGCCGUCGUUGGAGCCACGUGGCCCCAGGAGCGCCCGGGCUCAGCCCAGCCAAGACGUCCCCGAGCCUGGCUCAAGCUGCACACCGCCCACCUCCGCGUCCCCACACUCCCCCCCACCCCACCCCCGAGGGUGUCUUGCCCUGAGACCUGGGUGGGACCUCUCGUGUUCAGUGUCCAGAACUGGGCCUGGCUCACUGGGGAGAGAGCAAGGCGAACGCACGCAGACACACAGGCCUGACAAAGGCUCACAGCUGUUGACAGAAAGAGCCCGGGACACACCUAGAGGCGGCAGGAGAGACUUCACGCAGGCCCCUGCAGUGGGGAGAGACCCCACAAGGACUCCAGGGUUUAAAGGGAGAGCAGGAGUCUCCCGGUGGCUCAGCCAGUUAAGCAUCUGAGGCUGUCACUGCUGUGGCACAGUUUCGAUCCCUGGCUCAGAACUUCUUCAUGCCUCGAGUGCGGCCAAACAAUAAAUAAAUAAAGGGAU
Molecule: long non-coding RNA, 1325 nt
Filed under: Sus scrofa (pig)
Lineage: Eukaryota; Metazoa; Chordata; Mammalia; Artiodactyla; Suidae
Description: lncRNA (ENSSSCG00005030264.1)
Source: RNAcentral